Molecule: ribosomal RNA, 372 nt
Filed under: uncultured bacterium
Lineage: Bacteria
Description: bacterial SSU rRNA
Rfam family: Bacterial small subunit ribosomal RNA
Source: RNAcentral
ACGGAGGGAGCUAGCGUUGUUCGGAAUUACUGGGCGUAAAGCGUACGUAGGCGGUGAUUCAAGUCAGAGGUGAAAGCCUGGAGCUCAACUCCAGAACUGCCUUUGAAACUAGAUCGCUAGAAUCACGGAGAGGUGAGUGGAAUUCCGAGUGUAGAGGUGAAAUUCGUAGAUAUUCGGAAGAACACCAGUGGCGAAGGCGGCUCACUGGACGUGUAUUGACGCUGAGGUACGAAAGCGUGGGGAGCAAACAGGAUUAGAUACCCUGGUAGUCCACGCCGUAAACGAUGAUAACUAGCUGCCAGGGUUCACAGAACUUUGGUGGCGCAGCUAACGCAUUAAGUUAUCCGCCUGGGGAGUACGGUCGCAAGAUUA